This is a long non-coding RNA of Pieris rapae (cabbage white), 766 nucleotides long. RefSeq lists it as uncharacterized. The record is from RefSeq and is a predicted model, not a curated record. The transcript is spliced from 2 exons. Lineage: Eukaryota; Metazoa; Arthropoda; Insecta; Lepidoptera; Pieridae.
AUAUCUAUAUUGACUUUGAAAAAGAUUAAAAAUAAAUAUUAUUACGUAUUUUUAUUAAACAAAGCUACGGCCUGGUAGGUAUAUGUGAUUCACCAUAUAGUGUGGUAAAGGAUACAUCGUAGUAUAAAACACCCAGGAAAGGCGCAGAAAAUUGAUCACCUACUCUAUAUUAUCUAUAAAGACAAAUCAUGAAUGAUAUAGAAGCAUGUCAAAAUAUGCCUUUGUUAUGCAACGACAUAACUUUUAAAUUAAAACUAAUAUAAAGAAAACAUUGACAUAAUUCAUUAACACAAACAUAUUUUAUUAAACAUUCCAUGAUAUAUGCUACUUACAAAGUUACUACACAUAUUCUAACAAUAACUUAUCACCUUAUACGGAUGCAUAAAAUCUACUUAAACCGUCCACUUAAAGUUUAUCAACGUCGUAACAAUUGCUUUCGGUAAAAAAAUCAACAAAACCAGUCGCAGGCAGUCGGUGAACGUAUUUACAAGAGCACGUUCGUGUAGUAUUUUAAAUUAAAAUGACUUAUGCUUUCAUAAUAGUGAUGUCUGUUGCGAUCACAUUAAAAUUGAUGUUCAUGAGUUUCUCACUGUACUUCACAUUUAAACACAAUUUACGCGCUGAGCCGACAAAAAAGAAAAAUGGAAAGGAUAUAAUGGAAAAGUGCAAACAAGUCACGCGUGCUUUUAUGCCUAGCAUUCACUGCAAUCAAACAUAAAGGGAAAAUCAAGACAAACAUCAAUAAUACAUGAAACCGUUUGAUUAA